UGCUGAAUCAAGCUUUGUCCUUUCGAACUUUGCAGUGGUUGUAAAUGUUUUCAGAUUUUUACAACUCCCUUUUCCUUACUGAAGAGCAGGCGAAAUUUCAGAAACUCUCAUGUUUGAAGUGGCAUUGUAAAGCAAUCUUAAUGUGGCCCUUGCCAACCUGCUCCAAGUGACUGAGAGGAAGGCUUGGAGCUGAUGACAUCCAGAGAUCCAUACCAACAUCAACUAUUCUGUGAUUUAACGAUUUUAAUAUCUGAGAAACAGAACAUUAUAACUUUUAUUUUCAGUUGUAU
RNAcentral lists this long non-coding RNA (290 nucleotides) under Gallus gallus (chicken). The record is from RNAcentral. Lineage: Eukaryota; Metazoa; Chordata; Aves; Galliformes; Phasianidae.